AAAUUAAUUUAAUAAAAUAAACCUCUACGUCACCAAAAAUAAAUAUUAAAAUAUAUUAAAAAGGAAAUAAAAUAAUCAGAAUAAUAGUAGAGAUUAUAUAAGUUUUGUAGUGGGUCUAGAAAACCCCCUAACUACGUAGCUAUUCUAUUUUUCUUUUCUCCUAUAUGUUACACAAAAAAUUCAGCCAUGAUUAACUUCCCAAGGUCUCUCAGAUAUUCAUCUUUAGCCCUUUUCAAACACGCCAUCUCUGCUAAUCCCUGGCCUAAUUCUCUCUGAAACAAACCUUUUCUCUCCUUUUUAUUUUUAUUUUGUUUAAGCAUAUUAGUAGAAUUUGUUUUCAACUUGCAGGAUGGGUGGUGGAGAGAUCAAAAGUAUACUACACUUUCCACACCUCCACAUCAAUCAAGGUGCAAAAAACAAACAAUCGAAAAAAGAUGUACAUGUACCAAAAGGUUACUUGGCUAUAAAAGUAGGGCAAGCAGAAGAAGAACAACAACGAUUCAUCGUUCCAGUAUCUUACUUCAAUCAUCCACUUUUCAUUCAGUUACUCAAAGAAGCUGAGGAAGUGUAUGGAUUUCAUCAUAAGGGAACAAUUACUAUUCCUUGUCAUGUUGAACAGUUUCGAUGUGUUCAAGGUAAAAUUGAUAAACACCAGCACCACCAUCAUCAUCUGCAUGUCCCAUGUUUUAGGGCAUGACAGGUUUUAGCUUUUUUGGUUUUUAGUGUAGUAGUUUUUGUUUGCCUUUCGGUGGGGGCGGUUUAGUGAUAAAAGACGACAAGUUAUUUUAUGUUUACGAUGUUUUUGUUAUGGGGUCACUGAAGUUGCUGUUAGCAUCCUUCGUUUCAAUUUGUUUGUCUCAAGUUUUUUGUGCUUAAGUUACAAAUUGAAACGAGAAAGUAUUAGUAAAGUGGAAUUUUAGUUGCUUCUAUUCUCUGCUUUAUUCUUUUUAAUAACAAUGUUCUCCUUCUCUUUUUUUUUUAAUUUCACAAAAUUUUCAUGCUGCCUGUUGGAAUCUAGCAUUCUUUUCAUGAAGUAAUGAAUUUUAUGAUUGGUUAGUGAUUUUAAUAAGGUUUUACAUUGCUGAUAUUUUUAACUGUUGUAGUUAUUUUUCUUUUAAAAGAAACGUCUUAAAUUCCAAGAUCCCGCAGCAGGGUUAAAAAACAAAAGGAAAUCGCUAAAGUUUCCAAAUAAAUUAUAAAUUUUUAUUCAAAAUUACUAAAUAUUGUUUAUAGCAAAAGUAAACUUCUUAUAUAAAAAGAAAUACUUUUAAUUAUUAGAAGAAUUUUGAUGUAUUUAAAUUAUAUCUUAAUAAAAAUUAAAUGUAUUAGUUAUAUUAAUAAAAACAAUUAUCAAAAGAAUCAUCUAUAAUAGUUAUAACUUUGCAUCUCAAAAUUUAAAAUAUAGAUUUUAUUGAUAAAAAUAUAUUUUAAGAAAAAUUUAAAGUCUCUAUUUAAUUUUUAUCUUAUAUCAUUAAUAUGAUUGAGCCGUCUGCCCGAAAGUUUAAUUUGAUAUGAAAUUCAUGACAAAAAGAUACGGAUUGAUGUGAAAUUAAAUAAAUUGAUAAUAAUGCGUUUCCUGUAGAAGGACGUAAUCGUCAAGUUGAAAAAAAACAAAUGCAUCCAAAUUUAAAGCAGCACACUUAUUACCGACCCGACGUUAAUCGAAGAUACUAGAAUACUAGAACUUCCUCCAGUUCCGUUACAAUUUGUUUUUUCUUUUUUUUUAAAAAAAUAUUUUUAAAAAAUCUAUUUCUAUAUUUAGUUUUUUCGAUUUUAAUAUACUCCCUCAAAUUUAUAUUAAGCAAAUUUUUGGGGUAUCGACUAGAAAAUGACUUUGUAGGGUAUCAAGAAUUGUCAAAAUUCAUAGGACUAUACAAAUUUUUUAAAAUAAUAAAAUUAAAUAAUCUGUUUUUAAUUUUAAAUCAGUGUCAACUUAAAUGAAGACAUUUCUGCCUAACAUGAGCUAGAACUUAGAGAAGUGAUGUGAAGCAUGUUGGCAUGUUUAAUAAAACAUCAAGAAAACGACCUCCUUCAAUCUUUUUAGGAACUUAAAUGUUUUGCUCUUUUUAGUGUUUUAAAUCAAAUUUUAUUUAAUAAAAAUCAAAGCAAGUUGUUGAAAUAUUUAAAGCAAACAGGAGGAGGGUCGUUGUUUCAAUGGGGUCCAUUGGGUUUUGGUGGACGGCAAGCGGUAGCCACAGCCGUGUUUAAAAGACUGUUAAGUAUGCUGAUGCAACUCAUGCAAAAUUACAUACUCCCAUACAUAAGGUGCAGUCGUCUACGCCUCGACUUAUGUAAAAGUUUCUGUGCCAGUAACAAAACUGAGUUCAAAUCAAAGAAUUCCAUGACCCACACACUCCUCAAUGAACUAAUUAAGGAAACUUGCCAAGGUCAUCAUGGUAUGUAACGGUGUUUGAUGGUGGUAGUGGUUUGCAGAGAUGUCCACUUUAAUGUUGGAGGUGUUUGAGGUGGUGGUGAUGGUGGUAGUAGUUGCUAUGGUAAUAAUUGCAGAGGUGGUUCGUCCGACUGUGACUUAGGAUGACUUGCAAUUCUGCUAAACUAUACUCGUACACUGUUGAUCUCGCCUGCCACCAAAUCCAACUUGAAAAGGAGAACAGGAAAGUAAGAAAAAAUAUCUUCAUAUCAUCAAUGUAUUCUUUCUUUUUUUUUUUUUUAAUCAACAGUUUCUAUCAUUUUGCCAAACACUAUCCAAAAGAGUAAGUUAAGCAUGC
Capsicum annuum is the source of this 2729-nucleotide long non-coding RNA. RefSeq lists it as uncharacterized. Lineage: Eukaryota; Viridiplantae; Streptophyta; Magnoliopsida; Solanales; Solanaceae. The transcript is spliced from 2 exons. The record is from RefSeq and is a predicted model, not a curated record.